GAUGAACGCUGGCGGCGUGCCUAAUACAUGCAAGUCGAGCGAACGGACGAUAAGCUUUCUUCUCUGAUGUUAGCGGCGGACGGGUGAGUAACACGUGGAUAACCUACCUAUAUGACUGGGAUAACUUCGGGAAACCGGUGCUAAUACCGGCUAAUAUUUUGAACCGCAUGGUUCAAAAGUGAUAGACGGUCUUGCUGUCACUUAUAGAUGGAUCCGCGCUGCAUUAGCUAGUUGGUAAGGUAACGGCUUACCAAGGCAACGAUGCAUAGCCGACCUGAGAGGAUGAUCGGCCACACUGGAACUGAGACACGGUCCAGACUCCUACGGGAGGCAGCAGUAGGGAAUCUUCCGCAAUGGGCGAAAGCCUGACGGAGCAACGCCGCGUGAGUGAUGAAGGUCUUCGGAUUGUAAAACUCUGUUAUUAGGGAAGAACAGAUGUGUAAGUAAAUGUGCAUAUCUUGACGGUACCUAAUCAGAAAGCCACGGCUAACUACGUG
RNAcentral lists this ribosomal RNA (497 nucleotides) under uncultured bacterium. RNAcentral describes it as "partial 16S ribosomal RNA". It matches the Rfam family "Bacterial small subunit ribosomal RNA", at positions 28 to 507 of the family's 1533-position model. The record is from RNAcentral.